Molecule: non-coding RNA, 129 nt
Organism: Podospora didyma
Lineage: Eukaryota; Fungi; Ascomycota; Sordariomycetes; Sordariales; Podosporaceae
Source: the annotation of a GenBank genome assembly
GGCUGCGUGGCCCAGUGGUUAAGGCAUCUGCUUUACAAAGAAAUUACCCAAUAGGGUUCUUUAUAAAGAAAUUACCCAAUAGGGUUCUUUAUUCGCAGAGGAUCGCAGGUUCGAGCCCUGCCGCGGUCA